UACGUAGGGUGCGAGCGUUAAUCGGAAUUACUGGGCGUAAAGCGUCCGCAGGUGGCACUUCAAGUCUGCUGUCAAAGACCGGGGCUUAACCCUGGAGAGGCAGUGGAAACUGAAGCGCUAGAGUGUCGUAGGGGUAGAGGGAAUUCCUGGUGUAGCGGUGAAAUGCGUAGAGAUCAGGAAGAACAUCGGUGGCGAAAGCGCUCUACUGGACGAUAACUGACACUCAGUGACGAAAGCUAGGGGAGCGAAUGGG
RNAcentral lists this ribosomal RNA (253 nucleotides) under uncultured bacterium. RNAcentral's name for it is "partial 16S ribosomal RNA". It matches the Rfam family "Bacterial small subunit ribosomal RNA", at positions 524 to 776 of the family's 1533-position model. The record is from RNAcentral.